Molecule: long non-coding RNA, 216 nt
Filed under: Elaeis guineensis (African oil palm)
Lineage: Eukaryota; Viridiplantae; Streptophyta; Magnoliopsida; Arecales; Arecaceae
Description: long non-coding RNA (EGUI_LNC002408)
Source: RNAcentral
UUGAACCUUUGCCUAGAAAACAGGAGGCAACAAAGGGGCAUUAUGAAACACUCCCUCAGCACCUCAAGUAUAUAGAUCAGAUCUCUUACAACCCCAACCAGUACUUAAGUCAGACCUAGAUCUAAUUAUAGAGGAAGAAUUGUUAGUUGUCAAGAGGAUGAGUUACAAAAUGAUCUCACAUAGAAAAUACUUUAAGAAAGAGCCCGAAUCAUGUAG